UUUUGUAAUUAUGUGUUCCUCUAGUGUAAGAGCUAUUGUUGCUUUAAAUCUUCAUAACUAUGGAAGUGGACGACAUCCCUGGGGUAAUCUGAAGCCAGAUUAUUUGGAAAAGAAAAAGUUUGUUGAGGCCCAUGCUGAUGAUGGUCUUCUAUAAAUUUUUGGCCUUAAGCACGGAUGGCAUGCAUCAUUUGUUAUGGUCGAACUCAUCUCUGCCAAGCACAUUGCUCAGGUAUAUUGAGAUGAUUUCUUUGGAGCAAUUCUUGACAACAUUUGUAGUUGAGGCCUUUAGAAUGGAAGAAUGUAUUUCACUAAUUUUUGUAUACAUUUCUUGUUUUGUAUUUAGUGAUAAAGGAAUCAGAAUUGGGCAUAAAUUAUGUUGUAAUAUGAUUUCUUAAGCCUAGACUAGUAGACUAAAUAUUGUAAUUACAUUUGAGUAAUUAAUAAAAAUCUAUUUAUGUUA
Molecule: long non-coding RNA, 460 nt
Organism: Humulus lupulus (European hop)
Lineage: Eukaryota; Viridiplantae; Streptophyta; Magnoliopsida; Rosales; Cannabaceae
Exons: 3
Source: RefSeq, a predicted model, not a curated record